AAAUGUGUUAUCAGCGAGAUACUAGAUGCAUGGGAGUUGACUACAUAUGUUGUGGCUAAGAUCGAUAGAAGAGAGAAGAAGUUUGAAGUGCGCUGUGAGAUGAAGGAAGGUUCUUUGUAUAGGAUAAGUUGUUCUUGUUGUAAGCUAGAAUGCUUGGGAACACCAUGCUCUCACAUAUUCUACAUCUUGGGAAUACGUCAAGUGGAAGUGCUGCCUAGGUGUUGUGUUCCCAUGAGGUGGACGAUGAGUGCGAAGUCUGCAUUCCCUCCGACCAGAAAGAGUGAGAUGUACGACUACUCGGCAAGCCUUGUGAGGUACCGUGAGUUGCGGAAUUUGAGUCAUGCAGCAUGUUUCCGGGCAUGUCAAUCUAGUGAGGAGUAUCAGCGUCUGAAGAUGAUUCUGAGUGAACAAGAUGGCAGCAAGGAAUCAAGCCGUGGUCAGGAGGAAUGCAUUAGGUUUGGUCCGGUGCUACCACAGACGACGGAAAUUGAUUGUGGAGAUUUGGAAAAGGUUCUGGACCCAGUGCAUGUGCAAGGCCGAGGUGCACCGAAGAAAAGGUUGCAGGCAAAGAUGAAGAAGCAAAGGUCAAAGAGGAAAUGUGGCUACUGUGGGGUGGAAGGUCAUGAUCGGCGUACAUGCAAUAAAUUGAAAGAGGAAAUGAUGGCAGCAAACUGUUAGCUACAACUCUCUGUACAAGGCCAUUGGCAAAAUGGACGCAGCUGCUGAGCCUCAAGAGAGUGAUGUUGUGUUGGUGACGAAGUGGCCCAACCGCCUCUAUCCUAUGGUUGCCAUGUGAAGAAAAAGGAUAUGUGGGAGCUUUUGGAUGGACAAAGGCUCCAGCAAGGAAGAGAAGAGAGCUGCAUUUCCUUACUUGCAAUUCUAGUAAUUAUCUUUGUUAUAACUUGUAGAGUGUACCCGCAAAAAAACUUGUAGAGUGUGAUGGAUUAAUUAGGAUGCUACGUAAUCAGAGUACGUAUACUAUCAUAUGUAUCAUGACUGAUUACGACCAAGGUGUGCGUUCCAUGAACAAGACUCCCAUUUAUAUGUUUAUUAA
Molecule: long non-coding RNA, 1054 nt
Organism: Triticum dicoccoides
Lineage: Eukaryota; Viridiplantae; Streptophyta; Magnoliopsida; Poales; Poaceae
Exons: 3
Source: RefSeq, a predicted model, not a curated record